AUGGCUCACAUAGGAAGGGCUGUAGUGUGUGAUAACAGGUGUGACUGCACAGUUCCUUGUGCAGGUGGUUCCACUUGCAGCCAUGAUGCUCAUUUACCACCUGGUUUUCGUUUCCAUCCUACUGAUGGAGAACUCAUCACAUUUUAUCUUCUCAAGAAAGUUCUUGACAACACUUUCACUGUAAGAGCCAUAGCUGAAGGUGUAUUAUUGAUAGUAAAGGAUAAUAGCAAUAGUAGAGGGUUUUCUCUAACUACUCUCAAACAAACAUCUCAAAAAAAAUAA
Molecule: non-coding RNA, 282 nt
Organism: Vicia faba (fava bean)
Lineage: Eukaryota; Viridiplantae; Streptophyta; Magnoliopsida; Fabales; Fabaceae
Source: the annotation of a GenBank genome assembly